RNAcentral lists this long non-coding RNA (201 nucleotides) under Musa acuminata (dwarf banana). Its description in RNAcentral is "long non-coding RNA (MACU_LNC006541)". The record is from RNAcentral. Lineage: Eukaryota; Viridiplantae; Streptophyta; Magnoliopsida; Zingiberales; Musaceae.
UGGAUCUAAUCACUCACAUCAAGAUUUAUAUGUGCAGCGGUUCAUCUCUAUACCAUAUGAUCGUCUAUCUCAUCCUCGUCGGUUCCAUCGGUAUCUCGAUACAUCUCCAUACGUCACGAUCGUUCGUCUCGACCUCGUGGGUCCUACUAUCGCUUUGACGCUCCCGUUGCACCUCAUCAUGUGAAUGUAACUUAAUCAUAG